Molecule: non-coding RNA, 28 nt
Filed under: Cricetulus griseus (Chinese hamster)
Lineage: Eukaryota; Metazoa; Chordata; Mammalia; Rodentia; Cricetidae
Also listed under: 1 other name
Source: RNAcentral
AGUAGUUGACUUUGCUGUAUGGAAAAAU